CUACGGGCGGCUCCAGUGAGGAAUAUUGCACAAUGGGGGGAACCCUGAUGCAGCAACGCCGCGUGGAGGAUGACGCAUUUCGGUGUGUAAACUCCCUUUAUAUGUCAAGAAAAUGACGGUAGCAUAUGAAUAAGCACCGGCUAACUCCGUGCCAGCAGCCGCGGUAAUACGGAGGGUGCAAGCGUUACUCGGAAUCACUGGGCGUAAAGGACGCGUAGGCGGGUUGGAAAGUCAGGUGUGAAAUCCUACAGCUUAACUGUAGAACUGCACUUGAAACUUCUAAUCUAGAGUAUGGGAGGGGGAGAUGGAAUUAGUGGUGUAGGGGUAAAAUCCGUAGAUAUCACUAGGAAUACCUAAAGCGAAGGCGAUCUCCUGGAACAUUACUGACGCUAAGGCGUGAAAGCGUGGGGAGCAAACAGGAUUAGAUACCCCGGUAGUC
RNAcentral lists this ribosomal RNA (439 nucleotides) under uncultured bacterium. RNAcentral describes it as "partial 16S ribosomal RNA". It matches the Rfam family "Bacterial small subunit ribosomal RNA", at positions 339 to 795 of the family's 1533-position model. The record is from RNAcentral.